CCUGACUGCUAUCGGAUUGAUACUAAGCCAUGCGAGUCAUUGCAGUAAUGCAGGGCAGACGGCUCAGUAACGCGUAGUCAACCUACCCUAUGGACGGGAAUAACCUCGGGAAACUGAGUAUAAUGCCCGAUAGAACACUAUACCUGGAAUGGUUUGUGUUCCAAAUGAAUGUCGCCGUAGGAUGGGACUGCGGCCUAUCAGUUUGUUGGUGAGGUAAUGGCCCACCAAGACUAUUACAGGUACGGGCUCUGAGAGGAGUAGCCCGGAGAUGGGUACUGAGACACGGACCCAGGCCCUAUGGGGCGCAGCAGGCGAGAAAACUUUGCAAUGUGCGAAAGCACGACAAGGUUAAUCCGAGUGGUUUGUGCUAAACGAACCUUUUGACAGUCCUAGAAACACUGUUGAAUAAGGGGUGGGCAAGUUCUGGUGUCAGCCGCCGCGGUAAAACCAGCACCUCAAGUGGUCAGGAUGAUUAUUGGGCCUAAAGCAUCCGUAGCCGGCUCUGUAAGUUUUCGGUUAAAUCUGUACGCUCAACGUACAGGCUGCCGGGAAUACUGCAGAGCUAGGGAGUGGGAGAGGUAGACGGUACUCGGUAGGAAGGGGUAAAAUCCUUUGAUCUAUUGAUGACCACCUGUGGCGAAGGCGGUCUACCAGAACACGUCCGACGGUGAGGGAUGAAAGCUGGGGGAGCAAACCGGAUUAGAUGCCCGGGUAGUCCCAGCUGUAACUAUGCAAACUCAGUGAUG
This 746-nucleotide ribosomal RNA is filed under the name uncultured bacterium. RNAcentral's name for it is "bacterial SSU rRNA". It matches the Rfam family "Archaeal small subunit ribosomal RNA", at positions 21 to 776 of the family's 1478-position model. The record is from RNAcentral.